AAUGAACGUUGGCGGCGUGGAUUAGGCAUGCAAGUCGUACGGGCCGCAAGGCCAGUGGCGCAAGGGUGGGUAAUGCGACGGUAACCAACCCCAUGGGUGGGUAUAGCCGCGGGAAACUGCGGGUAAUCCCCAGCGAAGCAAAGCGAUCGGCAUCGAUCGUUUGCCAAAGCUCCGGCGCCGUGGGACGGGCCGUCGUGGUAUUAGGUAGUUGGGGGGGUAACGGCCCACCAAGCCGACGAUGCCUACCGGGCGUGCGAGCGUGGCCCGGCACACUGGGACUGAGACACUGCCCAGACUCCUACGGGAGGCUGCAGUCGAGAAUCUUCGGCAAUGGGCGCAAGCCUGACCGGGCGACGCCGCGUGGAGGACGAAGGCCUUCGGGUUGUAAACUCCUGUCGAGGGGAAAGAAGGUCCGCAAGGACUUGACUGAUCCCUGGAGGAAGCACGGGCUAAGUUCGUGCCAGCAGCCGCCGCUG
RNAcentral lists this ribosomal RNA (476 nucleotides) under uncultured bacterium. RNAcentral describes it as "partial 16S ribosomal RNA". It matches the Rfam family "Bacterial small subunit ribosomal RNA", at positions 28 to 523 of the family's 1533-position model. The record is from RNAcentral.